Molecule: transfer RNA, 85 nt
Filed under: Laccaria amethystina LaAM-08-1
Lineage: Eukaryota; Fungi; Basidiomycota; Agaricomycetes; Agaricales; Hydnangiaceae
Rfam family: tRNA
About the family: Transfer RNA (tRNA) molecules are approximately 80 nucleotides in length. Their secondary structure includes four short double-helical elements and three loops (D, anti-codon, and T loops). Further hydrogen bonds mediate the characteristic L-shaped molecular structure. tRNAs have two regions of fundamental functional importance: the anti-codon, which is responsible for specific mRNA codon recognition, and the 3' end, to which the tRNAs corresponding amino acid is attached (by aminoacyl-tRNA synthetases). tRNAs cope with the degeneracy of the genetic code in two manners: having more than one tRNA (with a specific anti-codon) for a particular amino acid; and 'wobble' base-pairing, i.e. permitting non-standard base-pairing at the 3rd anti-codon position.
Source: Rfam by way of RNAcentral
GCCCGCCUAGCUCAAUCGGAUAGAGCGUCAGACUCUUACCUAGGCGGUGAUCUGAAGGCUGCGAGUUCGACCCUCGCGGUGGGCU